This 460-nucleotide ribosomal RNA is filed under the name uncultured bacterium. Its description in RNAcentral is "partial 16S ribosomal RNA". It matches the Rfam family "Bacterial small subunit ribosomal RNA", at positions 338 to 795 of the family's 1533-position model. The record is from RNAcentral.
CCUACGGGUGGCAGCAGUGAGGAAUAUUGGUCAAUGGGCGGAAGCCUGAACCAGCCAAGCCGCGUGAGGGAAGAAGGUACAGUGUAUCGUAAACCUCUUUUGUCAGGGAAUAAAGGUGGGGACGAGUCCUCGGAUGAGGGUACCUGACGAAUAAGCAUCGGCUAACUCCGUGCCAGCAGCCGCGGUAAUACGGAGGAUCCGAGCGUUAUCCGGAUUUAUUGGGUUUAAAGGGUGCGUAGGCGGCCUGUUAAGUCAGCGGUGAAAGGCCCGGGCUUAACCCGGGCAGAGCCGUUGAAACUGGCGGGCUGGAGUUGGAGAGAGGUACGCGGAAUGCGCGGUGUAGCGGUGAAAUGCUUAGAGAUCACGCAGAACCCCGAUUGCGAAGGCAGCUUACCAACUCCACACUGACGCUGAGGCACGAAAGCGUGGGUAUCAAACAGGAUUAGAUACCCGAGUAGUC